This 495-nucleotide ribosomal RNA is filed under the name uncultured bacterium. Its description in RNAcentral is "partial 16S ribosomal RNA". It matches the Rfam family "Bacterial small subunit ribosomal RNA", at positions 28 to 507 of the family's 1533-position model. The record is from RNAcentral.
GACGAACGCUGGCGGCGUGCCUAAUACAUGCAAGUAGAACGCUGAAGGAGGAGCUUGCUUCUCUGGAUGAGUUGCGAACGGGUGAGUAACGCGUAGGUAACCUGCCUGGUAGCGGGGGAUAACUAUUGGAAACGAUAGCUAAUACCGCAUAAGAGUAGAUGUUGCAUGACAUUUACUUAAAAGGUGCAAUUGCAUCACUACCAGAUGGACCUGCGUUGUAUUAGCUAGUUGGUGAGGUAACGGCUCACCAAGGCAACGAUACAUAGCCGACCUGAGAGGGUGGUCGGCCACACUGGGACUGAGACACGGCCCAGACUCCUACGGGAGGCAGCAGUAGGGAAUCUUCGGCAAUGGACGGAAGUCUGACCGAGCAACGCCGCGUGAGUGAAGAAGGUUUUCGGACCGUAAAGCUCUGUUGUAAGAGAAGAACGAGUGUGAGAGUGGAAAGUUCACACUGUGACGGUAUCUUACCAGAAAGGGACGGCUAACUACGUG